RNAcentral lists this ribosomal RNA (731 nucleotides) under uncultured Bacteroidales bacterium. RNAcentral describes it as "bacterial SSU rRNA". It matches the Rfam family "Bacterial small subunit ribosomal RNA", at positions 39 to 760 of the family's 1533-position model. The record is from RNAcentral. Lineage: Bacteria; Pseudomonadati; Bacteroidota; Bacteroidia; Bacteroidales.
GCUACAGGCUUAACACAUGCAAGUCGAGGGGCAUCGGGAAGAAAGCUUGCUUUCUUUGCUGGCGACCGGCGCACGGGUGAGUAACACGUAUCCAACCUGCCCUUUACUCGGGGAUAGCCUUUCGAAAGAAAGAUUAAUACCCGAUGGCAUAAUGAUUCCGCAUGGUUUCAUUAUUAAAGGAUUCCGGUAAAGGAUGGGGAUGCGUUCCAUUAGGUUGUUGGUGAGGUAACGGCUCACCAAGCCUUCGAUGGAUAGGGGUUCUGAGAGGAAGGUCCCCCACAUUGGAACUGAGACACGGUCCAAACUCCUACGGGAGGCAGCAGUGAGGAAUAUUGGUCAAUGGGCGCUAGCCUGAACCAGCCAAGUAGCGUGAAGGAUGAAGGCUCUAUGGGUCGUAAACUUCUUUUAUAUAAGAAUAAAGUGCAGUAUGUAUACUGUUUUGUAUGUAUUAUAUGAAUAAGGAUCGGCUAACUCCGUGCCAGCAGCCGCGGUAAUACGGAGGAUCCGAGCGUUAUCCGGAUUUAUUGGGUUUAAAGGGAGCGUAGGUGGACUGGUAAGUCAGUUGUGAAAGUUUGCGGCUCAACCGUAAAAUUGCAGUUGAUACUGUCAGUCUUGAGUACAGUAGAGGUGGGCGGAAUUCGUGGUGUAGCGGUGAAAUGCUUAGAUAUCACGAAGAACUCCGAUUGCGAAGGCAGCUCACUGGACUGCAACUGACACUGAUGCUCGAAAGU